RNAcentral lists this ribosomal RNA (253 nucleotides) under uncultured bacterium. RNAcentral's name for it is "partial 16S ribosomal RNA". It matches the Rfam family "Bacterial small subunit ribosomal RNA", at positions 524 to 776 of the family's 1533-position model. The record is from RNAcentral. RNAcentral also lists the same sequence under 1 other name.
UACGUAGGGUGCAAGCGUUGUCCGGAAUUAUUGGGCGUAAAGAGCUCGUAGGCGGCUUGUCACGUCGGGUGUGAAAACUCGGGGCUCAACCCCGAGCCUGCAUCCGAUACGGGCUAGCUAGAGUUCGGCAGGGGAGACUGGAAUUCCUGGUGUAGCGGUGAAAUGCGCAGAUAUCAGGAGGAACACCGGUGGCGAAGGCGGGUCUCUGGGCCGAUACUGACGCUGAGGAGCGAAAGCGUGGGGAGCAAACAGG